GGGGAUGUGGCUCGGUGGUAGAGUGCUUGCCUAGCAUGCAUGAAGCCCAGGGUUCAAUUCCUCAGUACCA
This 70-nucleotide transfer RNA is filed under the name Dipodomys ordii (Ord's kangaroo rat). It matches the Rfam family "tRNA". Rfam says of the family: Transfer RNA (tRNA) molecules are approximately 80 nucleotides in length. Their secondary structure includes four short double-helical elements and three loops (D, anti-codon, and T loops). The record is from Rfam by way of RNAcentral. Lineage: Eukaryota; Metazoa; Chordata; Mammalia; Rodentia; Heteromyidae.